UUUUAUGGAGAGUUUGAUCCUGGCUCAGGAUGAACGCUGGCGGCGUGCCUAAUACAUGCAAGUCGAGCGAACAGACGAGGAGCUUGCUCCUCUGACGUUAGCGGCGGACGGGUGAGUAACACGUGGAUAACCUACCUAUAAGACUGGGAUAACUUCGGGAAACCGGAGCUAAUACCGGAUAAUAUAUUGAACCGCAUGGUUCAAUAGU
This 208-nucleotide ribosomal RNA is filed under the name Staphylococcus epidermidis. Its description in RNAcentral is "partial 16S ribosomal RNA". It matches the Rfam family "Bacterial small subunit ribosomal RNA", at positions 1 to 202 of the family's 1533-position model. Lineage: Bacteria; Bacillati; Bacillota; Bacilli; Caryophanales; Staphylococcaceae. The record is from RNAcentral.